Molecule: long non-coding RNA, 277 nt
Filed under: Mytilus galloprovincialis (Mediterranean mussel)
Lineage: Eukaryota; Metazoa; Mollusca; Bivalvia; Mytilida; Mytilidae
Source: RNAcentral
UAUUCAUUAACAAGGAUAUAAUCGCACCAAGAUCUUUAAAAAUUCCUUGUCUGAACUGGUGAACAUCACGAACAAAAACUUUCGAUAUAGCUUCAUAUGAAUCUAGUGUCGAGUGUGGAAAGUCUAUGGUGUCGAUCUCCUUCCAAUUGAUUUUGUCCCAUUGUUUCUAAUAUCGACAAAAUUUACGAAGUUCUUCUUUCCAUGGUUUGCAAAUGUUGCACCACUGACUCAAGUUAUUUCCGUAUUUUCUACUACAGUUUAUAGUACAUUUCAAGCC